This 404-nucleotide ribosomal RNA is filed under the name Corynebacterium stationis. Its description in RNAcentral is "bacterial SSU rRNA". It matches the Rfam family "Bacterial small subunit ribosomal RNA", at positions 74 to 489 of the family's 1533-position model. The record is from RNAcentral. Lineage: Bacteria; Bacillati; Actinomycetota; Actinomycetes; Mycobacteriales; Corynebacteriaceae.
UUGUGCUUGCACAAGGUACUCGAGUGGCGAACGGGUGAGUAACACGUGGGUGAUCUGCCCUGCACUGUGGGAUAAGCCUGGGAAACUGGGUCUAAUACCAUAUAGGACCGCAUCUUGGAUGGUGUGGUGGAAAGCUUUUGCGGUGUGGGAUGAGCCUGCGGCCUAUCAGCUUGUUGGUGGGGUAAUGGCCUACCAAGGCGGCGACGGGUAUCCGGCCUGAGAGGGUGUACGGACACAUUGGGACUGAGAUACGGCCCAGACUCCUACGGGAGGCAGCAGUGGGGAAUAUUGCACAAUGGGCGCAAGCCUGAUGCAGCGACGCCGCGUGGGGGAUGAAGGCCUUCGGGUUGUAAACUCCUUUCGCUAUCGACGAAGCCUUUUAGGGGAGGGUAGGUAGAUAAAAA